GACGAACGCUGGCGGCGUGCCUAAUACAUGCAAGUAGAACGCAGUUGCGAACGGGUGAGUAACGCGUAGGUAACUGCCUCAUAGCGGGGGAUAACUAUUGGAAACGAUAGCUAAUACCACAUACGGUGAGAUGGACCUGCGUUGUAUUAGCUAGUUGGUGAGGUAAAGGGUCACCAAGGCGACGAUACAUAGCCGACCUGAGAGGGUGAUCGGCCACACUGGGACUGAGACAGAGCCCAGACUCGUACGGGAUGCGGCAGUAGGGAGUCUUCGGGAAUGGACGGAAGUCUGACCGAGCAACGCCGCGUGAGUGAAGAAGGUUUUCGGAUCGUAAAGCUCUGUUGUUAGAGAAGCGGUAGCUAACCAGAAAGGGCCGGCUAACUACGUGCCAGCCGCCGCGGUAAUUC
RNAcentral lists this ribosomal RNA (407 nucleotides) under uncultured bacterium. RNAcentral describes it as "partial 16S ribosomal RNA". It matches the Rfam family "Bacterial small subunit ribosomal RNA", at positions 28 to 526 of the family's 1533-position model. The record is from RNAcentral.